ACUAAUGACAUGUAUAAGAUCAGUACUAUUGUACCCAACUCAGUUAUAAAUGAAGUAUCAUCUUCUGCUUACUCCUCUGUAUUAUAGCACAAUAGGCUGGGACAUAUAAAUUAUAAAAAGUUUUCUAGCAUGGAGAAAUUAGAAUUACUUCCAAAAUAUGAGGGUAACAAACCUGAGAAGUGUGAAAUUUGCGCACAAGUGAAGCUAACAAGGAAGCCCUUUCUAAGUGUCACAAGGAGCACCAACCUAUUAGAUCUGAUUCACUCAGAUAUGUGUGAUUUCAAGAGCUUCGUCACUCGAGACGACAUGAAGUACUUCAUCACCUUCAUUGAUAAUCAUCCCUGCUUCUGUCACGUGUACCUGCUAAAAUCUAAAGAUGAAGCCUUCAGCAAGUUUAUUGAGUUUCGAACUCAUGUGGAGAAGCAACUUGGACUUCAGGUGAAAAGACUCAGGAGCGACACAAUAAGAGAGUACCAAUCUAAGGAGUCGGAAGCAUACUUCAAGGAGCAUAAAAUCAUUGCUGAAACUACGUCUCUGUACUCUCUGUAAUCUAAUAGGAUUGCAGAAAGGAAGAAUCGCACAUUGACCGAGAUGGUGAAUUUCAUGCUAAUCACAUCUGGUCUACCGACCUGCUAUUGGGGAGAGGCUUUGCCGGUGGCAAACUGGAUUCUGGAUAGAGAACCCUAUUUCAAAACUAAUAGUACUCAUCAUCAGUUAUGGUUGGGACACUACCACAUAAUUGAUCUAUUACAACGGUUAAGGCGCAACGGUUUUAACUGUUGCGUUAGAUAUCUAUCGUAACGGUUUUCAGGGUGUAAUACAACAUUUAAUAUAAAAUGUUGCCAUAGAUCUAAUAAUUGUUUCUGGGCUUAAUAAUUGUUAGUGGUCUUUGAGCUUGAGUAAAGCCCAUUGUUUGACCGCACCGCUAAAACCGCACCAACUUAAAAAGGAAAUCUCUCUCUCUCUCUCUCAAAUCCCUAAAAUCGCCGCCGCCAUGGCCAAAACUCCCUAAAAUUGCCGUGGCCAAAACUCCCUCGUCGCCGUUUUCAGUCCUCGCCGGAGUCCAUUAACUUUCGUCGCCGUUUUCAUCUCGUUGGUUUCAUCGUCGAGCUACUCUCGUUGCUCCAGAAAUCGAGCCCAGUCCUCGCCGGAGCUUUCUAGGGUUCUGUACCAAAGUGUUAAAGAUGGAAAACAUUAUGCAGUAAAGGUUUUCCACAAAUCGCAUUUGUUGAAGUUGCGGGUGGCACCUUCAGAAACUGCCAUGACCGAUGUUCUUAGGGAGGUGUCCAUCAUGAAAAUGUUGGAUCAUCCCAAUAUAGUGAAACUCAUUGAGUUCUAGAGUAUGUAGCAGGCAAAAGGAUGUGUGACUUUGGUUCUUGUCCAAGAGAUGGUAUUGGAGAAAGUGAAUCAAGAAGAUAUCUACGAGAUGUUGUUUCUGGUCUCAUGUAUCUCCAUGC
Asparagus officinalis (garden asparagus) is the source of this 1457-nucleotide long non-coding RNA. RefSeq lists it as uncharacterized. The record is from RefSeq and is a predicted model, not a curated record. The transcript has 5 exons. Lineage: Eukaryota; Viridiplantae; Streptophyta; Magnoliopsida; Asparagales; Asparagaceae.